GGCUCAGACAUCUGGGUAGCCAUGCAAAUUCUCAGCAUCCACGACAUCCAUGAGCAUGGCAAGAGAUCUAUUAAUCCACCACAUACCUUCUGUAUGCCUAAUCCCUUCCCUCUUUGUUCUAAAAGAGUUUUCAGUUAAUUUUACCUAAGAAAAUGAGGAAUUGUUUCUUAAUCUCUCCUCAUUACUCCCUUUAUAGUCAUCUCUCUCAUCCCUUCCUCUUAGUUUCUUUUUCUCCCAGACCAGACUCCCAAUCACUUUAGCCACUCCAUGGACAGAGACCUGGGUGACCAAAAUACUGUGAUUUUGUCUGUAAAACACACAUUCCCUCAAAAAAGAAGGAGAAGCCAGAACCCAGAGCUACCUACUGCUUCUGGCUUCUUUCCCUGAAUGUCCUUUACUGUUUCUGAGAUACUUGGCUGUUCCUGGCUCAUGCAGUCAGACAUCUUAGUCCAAAAUAAAUACCUAGUGAAAACACCCUGAGCUCAGUUCAGGCAUUUUGCAUAUGAUCUCUGCUUUCAGUUACCUCAUUCCAUAAAAAUUAUCAUAGCUGUUUUGAAUGCCUGACCUGUAUUAAAGGAUGACUGCUACGUGCAAAGCUCCAACAAAGGACAUAGCACAGAGACCUCUUCUUUUCCUGAGAUGUGAAAGAAGGGCUGUGUCCCAUCUCUGUGCACAGUCUGGACUUUUUAUCUGCUAUCCCUGUGCUUGGACAGCUGAGAAGUGAACAGGCAAGGCAUUUCUUUCAAGUAUGACAAUGAAAAAGCCCCAAGCCCCUAUGAACCAGGACCGAAAGACAGAAAAUUGAGAGAUAUAUGUGAUAGGAGUAACUGGACACAUUUCUGGCUCGGAAGACUGAUCUCGGGGCCACAGCAGCCCUUUCCCCUUUCCUCAUAAGCGCUGGUUGCUGCUGCCCCAGGCAAGGAGCCCUCCCGGGGCAGGAAGGCAGGGGCAAGCGGCGGUGCCCGGGGACUGCCAGCCCCAGCUCCCCGGGACAGUGCCGGCUUCAGCCGCCAGAUGGUACCGCUGCCACGCAGCUCCGCACAAAGCAUGCCAGAGGAAUGAUCGGGGGAAAAAUCGAGCUAGAAAAGACGUGGUGCUGAGAGUGAACCAAACUCAGGCUCACACGGACCAGGGAAUAUCCCAUCAUUGCCAUUUCCAUCUGCGAGUGGUGCAGGUUUUCCCUUUUACUGUCCUACUUAUUGCCCAGCCUUUCUACAUCGAUUGUCUGAAAGAGGCGGGAUGCAUACAAUGCUCAGAGUUUGUCUUAACAGAUAGGUUACUUAAUGCUUGUCUUCCUUUUUUAUCUAUUUAUUUAUUUAUGCUUUUAUUUAUUUAUUUAGCGGAAUCUAAUGUUUUUUGUUUUGUUUUGUUUUGUUUUUUUGUGAAAUCUAAUGUUUUUAUGUUACUAUGUGAAGAAAGCACCAGAAAAGUCUGAAAAACAUGAACGUAAGUGUUCUCAGUCACUGGUUGUCAGUGACCUGUAAUUAGAGGUACCCUGCAGCACUCCCACUCUUUGAAGGGUCUGCUUAGUUUUUUUACAUAGCAGCUUGCUUAAUAUAUUUUUCCUCUAACCUCCAUUAGCACUCGACAGAAAAAAGAUCAGUUCCAGAAAAUGGAACAUUCGUACCUACUGAAAUUACAUAUAAUUAACCAAUUAGAAACAGAAAUCUGUCUCGGUUUUCAGAAUGAGUGCUUACUGGUGUAUAAUGCCUUUCAAAACCCCUGCUCUCUUCUAGGGAAAUAAUUGCUGGCUUCCUAAUUUCACAGGCUGGCUGUUAUCACUUUCUAGACAGCAGGUCUAAGCAAGAGUCCUUCCCAUAAUUUAUUUUGGGUGAUCCUUGGAAUCUUCUCCUAAAAGUAAUUUACCACAGAACUUUACAAAGCUCUUUGGCAUCACAGCCAGGACCUGCCACGUCUGUGCCCCAUGCUGUGCAGUGACUCUGACUUCAGAGAAAUGUUUUAUUUCCAUGUCCUCUCUAAAAUGCUUUGUUUAUCCCACUUCCCACAGUCUACAGCCCAGGAGACGUAGGCAUUGCAUAUGACAAUCUAAUUCAGCUCCAUGUCACAGAAAUAAAUGCCUUCACACAUGGCCUGCACAUAGGCCAGGCCUCUGAAGUGUAAUACAUGCUGUGAGUUAUCGUGGCAGACUUUCACACAUCCCUGCAGAUAAGGUAAUUUAGUAAGACAUCCAAGUGACUGCCUGGAGAUGUGCAUUUGCCUUUGCACAAAUGGAGGCAGCUACUUUGACAGUGCUCUCAUUUCUUUGAAUCUUCUACAGGAGCUGCCUAGAAAAUUGCAGCUAUCAGUGAGUAAAACAUUAGGGGGUAGGAAUGGCAUCCCAAACUUGAUGUGUUUGUGCUACUUCUGUUCAGCAAAUUGCAGCUAGGGGAUGUAAACAUAUAGGGUGCUUUAGCCUUCUUCUGGCUCCACAAAAGCCAUGAAGAGAGGAGACCUGUGCUCUGCUUUGCUCUCUACCACCUGUGUGCCUCUGGAAUGCCUCCGUGAGAGAGGAAUGAUGCAAGCACUGGAGGCACACUGGUUCAUUUAAUAUGUGCCCCAUCUCAAAUUGGUGCAUAUUUUGAUGCAAAACUCCAGCUGUGAUCAUCCUGAGACUGCAGUUUUCACAGCAGAGUUGUAUUUUGUGUGCUGGUUGUUAAAACAGUGCAUGAGGUAUGGAAACCUUGCCUUAUAUCAUAUAUCAUCUGUGAUAUAUGACUUUGAAGAUAUUUUGGCUGACAGCAAAAACAUAGUGGUUUAACUACCAUUUUGGUCUUUUCAGACUUCUGUUAAAGUGCAGAUAUUCAAAUAUAACCAUAGGUAAAAAAGAACAUUUCUUGGUGGAGUUUUGUACAAAUUGCUACUCUUCUCAUUUCUGAUAAUUUUAAGCAAUUUUCUCUCCAAGAUCCCAUUGUUCCUUUCACUAAUACACUUAUUGACUCAUAUCUAUGGAAGCACCUUGCCUCCUGGCUUCUUUUGCUGGCUCAUUACUUGCAUUUAUUGCUGCAUUUCUCUGAAGCAAUUUCAUUAAGUUCUGCUUUAUGUCUAUCACAGAAAUCUGCUGUUAGGAUACAGCGCCCUUUCAUGUUCAUAGGAAGUGGAAGUUCAUUCUGUCCCCUGAAUUUUAUUAAUUUCUUUCAAUCAUUUAAAAAUGAAAAAAACACAAGCCUUAAACAGUUAAGUUACUGCAGAAUUUUGGCUCUUUCCGUUAACAGCAAAAUAAAGCUAAUUUCCUGCAGCUUUCUGCUUUGAGCUAUAAAGCUUUGUGUGCGGAUUACUUUUUUGAGAGCUAUUAUGAUUGUCCACAGGCAGAACAAGUUCAGUAAAAUAUCAGCUUCUGAAUCUCCAAAGAAACAUUCAUUGGGGAAAAACUUGGAGCUCUUUGUUUGCAGCAUUUUGUAGUUGGUUAAGAGGCAUUUAUGUAACCUUCAUCUCAUGAAGGGUGACUGCUAACAUUAGUAUUUUUAAAGCUCCACACAAUUACGAGGCACGAAUGUGAACAUUGUUGAGGGAAUUUGAAAACACUUUUGAAAGCAAAAGGCAGAUUAAAUUAAAAAAAAAAAAAAAAAAAGCCAAAAAUACCCCACAAGAUAAAAAAAAAGGGAAAAACCUUCACAAAGCUGGGAAUUAUACAUUGGCUCAAAGGUACUUUUACAUCCACAUCCAGGACAAGAGACUCCAAAAUAGACACCUAUAAUUUUUGAUAGCUAUCCUUGAUGUUCCAAAUGACACUGUCACAAAACUUCCCUUGACAACCAGAUCCUCAAAGCUAUUCAGAUACCAUAGUACAGAAAUUUUAUUUGGGCCAGAGUGUGAGGGAGAAGCUGUAUGGUCUCAUGGGUGGCCAUCCCUUAGUGCAGUGGCAUGUACACUACCUUAUGAAAUUCUGCUGCAUUUUCAAACACCUCUCUUUAAUUAGCUCCAAAGAAAUCUCCACAUUCCUCUUACUUCACAGUGCAAGGUGUAGAAAUGUACCCUCCAUGUCCCUGGAAGUUCCUGGAUGCCCCACAGACAGCUUCCAUGGCUACAGGGGACCUCUUUCCUCCAACGUGUGGGUGACCUGAGGGUUUGGAGUCCCACACCUGCCCUUGCAUGGCAGCAUCUCAUCCAUUUGCAAAGGCAGUGCACAAUGAAACUGGAAUUAAGGAUUCCCCCCAGGUGUUUCAUAAUUGCUAAAAAGAAGCCCAUGGUUGAUUUGGCAUCACUAAGGCUGAACAACAUCUGGGUGCCACAGCACAACCUGGUUUCUGCUCCACACGUUGCCAACAUCAGGGACCAGACUAGAGAAUACUUUUUCUUCCUUCAGACCACUGCAACUGGAUGCCUUUUUUGUAAGGAGGAAGUGGGUUACAAAGUGGAGGUAGUAUUUACCUGAAUCUCAUGCACCAAAGAGGCAGAAUGAUGAUUUGUGUGCACCUGGAACAGCUGGGUGGUCAGAUGGUCAGACUGUAGAUGCUAUUCCAGCAACAUUGAGAAUCACAGGAUAUUGUUCACAGCCCUUACCCAUCUGAAGGGUUCAAAGGUUUUGGAAGCUUAUUUAUCCAAUAGGUGAAAGAAAAGGGUGUCAGAGUGCUGUUAAAGGGGCCAGCACAAUUUGGCAGUUUUGUUUCAUCAAUUUUUGGAUAACAUGCUUCUCCCAAAGAAAAGACGUGAAAAUAUGUGGGCUGUCCUGGAGAAGGGUGCCUUACACUGCCUUCGCCAACUGCUCUGUACAUUCUGCCAGGCAAGGUACAUAAAUGUGGCAUUUAAAAAGAAGCAGCCUUACUGGAUGUAUUUUCUCUACAUCCAGAUCAAUAACUUUCUCACAGUUAUAACCAAAAUGAAAACCUGCUGCAUAUUAAAUAUCUACAGUGUUAGGUAACAUCAAAUAGUUACAGAAGAAAAUUAAACCAUAAACCUCAAAUGGGCAUCCAAAAUUAGAAAUCUUGCUGUGACUCUGCUCCUUGAUUGUACAGCAGAGACUCCUUGCUGAGGAGCUACAACAAUACAUUGACUAAUGUUUUUGUCACAGCAGUGAUCAGCCCUAAAGAAAAGCAUUGGAUGAAAUUAAUAACCUUAUCACCAGGGCAUGGCUUGAACAGCCCAUGAUGAAUGAGGCAGAAUGCCAAAACACUGAGUGAAGAGAGGGAACCACAUUUCUCCACAUGUCUGCAGUGACAAUACAGGGUCUAGGGGAAAAACAGCUAUCCUACACUUAAACACCACAGCUGGAUUCACAGGUCUGAGGAGACUGAACUGAAGAUAAAGGGACAGCAUAAUUCCUAGCACUGCCCAGAUUUUAGGGAUUCAUCAUGAACCUUUAGUUGUUGUGGUAGUAAUUAGUUGGGUUAGUAGGAAAUGCACUAAAAAGGAGGAAAAAACAAAAAAAAAGAAGAAAUUAUUUCAAAUUAUUUGUCUUUCCUUACAAGUUGUAAAAAAAAUAGACUUAAAGCAAAGAGUAGGGGUCAUGAAGUAUUGGUUCUGGCUUUUGCAGAAAAGCCAUCCCACUACCCACCACUAACAUCCCACCACUAACAUCCAAAGUUCUUAUCAUAGUUAUGUCUCCUAGAACUUGGUCCUUUCCUGAGGGAGACCAGCCCUGAGGGUGACAGGGUCCCAGUGCCUGCCUGGCUGGGUGGGUUUGUCUGAGGGUUUGCCACAGCUCCUCACAGGGAAGGGCAGGAGAACCUCAACACAUCUGUUUAAUGGCUCACAGUCCCUCCCUUUCUUUAUCCUUGGCUCAUCUCUCAUCUUCUCUGUUGCUUUGGCACCUGAGAUAUCUCAAGUAUGUACACUCUCCAUGACUUCUGAAAUAGAUGAAAACAUAUGGAAUCUUUCAGAUGCUAUUUAAUUUAACAGUUAACAAUUAAGUAAUUCACAAUAAUGUUGUGGUGAUUGUUGCAAAGGCUAACUAAUUUUCUAAAUCUUUAAAAGCAUUAAUUGGGUUUUGGCAUUCUGUCCCUUUGCUGAGCUGUCAGGAAGGAGUGACAGAUGAUCUGUAAACCAAAUAAGUCUGUUGUUCAUACAAUUUCCCAUCCAGGUAAGCUUUGAAAGAGUUUAGCGCAAAAGCCUGCAAAGCUUUUCAUAGUUUUCCUUCUAUUGUUCUCCUUGAAUAACAUGAAAAUAAUUGGGCUAAGGUGAUUUCAAUACUCGGAGACAUUAAUGUCCUUCUGUCAGGGGAGCAGACCACAUCUACUUUAAUAGACUGGAAUACUCACCAUCAGAAGUUCUAAGACUUCUAUCAAGGAUAGAUAGAAGUCAUUUAACUGGAGAAUUGCUGACACUGCACCUAUCUUCAAAAAGCAGAAAAGUGCAAGUCUGGACAACAAAAGAAUCCACAUGUCCUCCUCCCUCCAAACAACUGUCCUUGAUGUAACCUGAAAUUGCAUAGGGAGAUGCUUUAGUAGUUGAGGAGGAAGAACAUAAACACAUAUUGAUUGUUUCAGUAGCCCUGUGUCCAGGUUUUUGAUCUACCAUUGCUUCUUGUCCCUGGCAAGAAGGUGACACCGUUACUGCUGGCAAGUUUGGGCUCCCUAAGCUGUUUGAGAUCUGAGUCAUCCUGUGGGAUGAAGAGCUUGCUGAGUAACAUCUUAUCUGAAGGGCAUCCUUUGUAGGAGAAAGACUGUGAUUGUGUAAGAUGUCCAGUCAUGAAAGAGACUCUUGAAGGCAACAUCCCCAAAGGCAAAUUGUGAGUCACACUGGUUCCUCUGCUGAAAUCAGUAUCAUAUCACUUUGGAAUUGUUUGGGUAAGUGUGUUUGGGUAAGUGUGAUGCAUGGGGUUGUUCAAAAAGGUGGGAUGACUUUUUUCUUUCUCUUCAUCCCCAAAAGAGCACUGUUUAUAUGGACUGUGAAAAUAAUGUGAAGUGGGAUGUGAUGCUGCUGAGCUAACACCAAAUGUUAUACAGGCUGCUGGUCAUAAAUGUCUUCAAGUAAUCUUACAGUUUCUGUUAUGUUGUGAGGUUUCUACACAGAAUUCAACCAGGCAUUAAUAACAGCUUACUAGUCAUUCUGACUGAGCCCCUCUAUAGGAUGUCAAACACCCUCUGCUUUUGACAACUAUUUCAUGGGAUCCUAUGUCUUGCCAAAAUAUUUGCUUUAAUACUGAGCCUCCACAAUCCAGUUUCUCAUCUGAGAAUGACAGUAAGACAAAGGGCUCAAAAUCCAGAGUAUCUGAGGCUAAAGAAUUAUGGGAAAAUAAGGUUACCCUGGAAAAUGUUGCAGAGAUGUCCAUUCAAGAAAUCCUUACUCUUUUUGAUCCCUAUUGUCUUUUCAUUCCUAGGCUUUUCACAUACAUGACCAGCUUGAUAUUCUUGGAAGGAGCACCUGUAUCCCACUGCUGUGGUGGUAAUUGUCCUUGAAAUUUUGAAAACAAGGAGGACUAAAUUACCAUUCUGUAGUUUCCACUCAUUUUUGUGAAGAAUCCUGCCGUCAAAAGUCUUACGUUUUGCCUUUCAUAAGAAAAAAUCUCAGUAAUCUCUACUCCAAAAUAGUUUAAAGGUGUAAUAUUUAUCAUGGUUUUUAUCCUUAUGUUUGAAGACUAUUCUGUGAGUCAAUAGACCUCAGUAUCCAGAAAACUUCCUUGUGUCAGGCCUGUUUUCUUUUCCUGCAUUUCACCUCAUUAGCCCAGGGUCUAUUUUUCUGCCUUCUCACCCUGCAAAUCAACAGACAGUUAUGAAUCUGCAUCAAAGGGCAUCCCAGCAAAGCUCUGAGACCUUGUCUGUUCCCAAAAAGAAAAGAGGUAAAAAGAAAAAGGGGUUUACUAUGCAGCAAUACCAAUUUCUAUAAAACCAAAAAUGUCUGAAGCAUACCAAUGUUUUGAAUGGGAUGUCUAAUAGUGACUUCAGCUGUUGGAUGAGAAAUAAAGCAAUAUCUGCUUGGAAAGGAAUACUCUGAGAGGCCAAAAGAGGAGUCAAAAAUCAGCACUGAAUAUUAAUAGUACAGAAGGCUGUAAUUCUUAAAAACAACUGUAUGCUCAAGAAUUUGAGUGUCUCAAUGGCAAUAAAGCUGGCAAGGUAGGAUGAAUUUUACAAGGAAAAACAGAGCUGUAUAAGCAUGACUUAUUAACCAAUAUCCUAAUAAGAGACUGGAACAACCACAAAAAGAAUUUUCAAAUAUCCAUGAAGGUUUGGGUUUUUUUCCAGCAUAAACACAACAAUCUACACAGCUGAGCUGUACAUUAGAGGUUGUGGACUGACAAAACACUAAAGCAUUGUUAUGGAAAAUGUGGGAUCAGGCAACUUUGCAAGAACUAUGAAUAUGGCUUAUUUUCUGUCCCAUUAAAACUAGCCUUUAGGGUGGGUUUUAAGCUACAUUGAAGAGAAACAUGAUUGUUAAGGGAUAGUAAACAAGCCAUAAAGCAAACAGUUUUACAGUCAGCCUCACCUAUUACAGCAAGGGGUACUGCUGUGAGAGUAGGUGGUAUUAGGCAGCCACACUUUUUUAGGAAUGUACAAAAUUGUUCCUACCUUGAAAUACAAGUGAUUGGCAAGGAUGAGUGUUCACUGCUGAACGUAGGUAGCACUCUGCAUUUGAUGAGGUUCAGAUUUUUUUCUGCAUUAUAUGCAGAAUUCAAAGAGAAGUGCCCACUAAGAGGGAGGAUAAAAGUUACUGCUCUGCAGGGGAUACUUACUGUGUGUACUCUCCUCUAAAUGAUCCUUUGGCCAUGAGGAAAGUUUUUACAUAUAGGAUAUGGCAAAACAGAGAUAAAGGAUCUUUACUUCUCAUCCAAGGGUAGUCAUUCAGCUCUAUCUGGACAGGACAGCAACACAUUUGAGAAAACACAGGAUCCCAGAGACUCCAGCUAGGUUUUGAAGAUGGUCACCAUUAUAUUGGUCACUUUUUGGAAGGGAGAACAUGAAUUAUGGCAGGCAAACACAAGGGAUCUGGCUUUGUAAGAUACACAUUAAUAUUUUGAAUUAUGGAGCAUAUGUACCACCCUGCUAAGCAUUUUCAUGAAAGGACAAUAAAUUUCUGCUUAGAGACGUGCACCAAUACAGCUGUCAAGGAAAAGAACAAUUAAUGGAGAAACUAAAGAGUGGCCACACCAAAGAGGUCAAUGUCUUCUGAAGUGGCAGCAAAAUACUGCAUUCACAGGCAGUCCCACUGUGUUGAAAGGUUUUAUUUGAAGAACUGCAAGUUAAUUAGAGGAAAGUUGAAGGGCUGUCAGAUAAUGCUAAGCUUCAUUAAAUUCUGGCUUCCUGGCAAAAAAAAAAAAACAACCUUAGAGAGAGACAGGAUACAUUUGUUUUAAUUGCUUUAUGCUUUUACCAUGUCUUGGCCAACUUAAAUAUCAACUUCCUCCACAGAUGUAACUGAUCAGGCAAAAGGGAGAGGACACUAAGAGUGCAUCACUGUCUUGGCAGGCAUUGCACUAAGCCAAAAAAAGAAGUAAUUAGUGAAUGUAUUUUUGUUUAUAGCAGUCUGGCAGAAAACGUAACAACAAAGUACCUUCAGUACACACUGGAGCUUUUAUAGAGCUAGGAAAUGAGACAUGUAAAUGUGACAAGCAGAGUAAAACAGAAUGAAUUUUUCCUUCAAUUUGAAUAAAAUCACUUAAUUUUGCUUUCUGUAGGCUUAUUGGGAUAUUUUUGCUCUCUUUAAAAGUUGUUCUCUGUUAUAUUAAUAAAACUUUAGGACUUCAGAGAAUCCAGCAGGAUUUGGAUUUGUAGUAUAUGGGCAAAUAUAGAUGCCUGCUGAAGACUAAAGAGAGUAGCAGAACUGAAACAGGACAUGAACAGUCAUGGGAUCAGAAAGAAGUCAUUCAGUGCAGUGGUUUUGAAGACACUCAGAUCCAUAAAUCCACUCACAUGGCUAUUUCUCCAGCAUACAGAUUUGAUAAUUAGAAAACUAUUCCUGAGGAUGUGAACGCUGCACAGAGGCUUACAGGAAAGUAUGUAGGGGUCUGCAGGUGAAAAAAGGUUACAAACCACAUGUUUAGUCCAGGCUAAAGAGCAAAGUAAGAGUUCAUGAGUGUCUGGGGUCCUUCAUGCAUUCGUGGCUGUAGCUCUGAACUGCCUGACUCUACACAUGCAUUGUUCUCAGCCCUGGUGCUCCUGUCAUUUGCAGAGUAAAUCUCUGUGGGAUUUCAUGCAGUGCUUUUAGAAAAAUAAUAAUUUCUAAAUCUACAAAAUCUAUGGUCAUCUUAUAGGACAAACCAUAUUGAGUGUUUAAUCAACAACUCCUGUAUGAAAAUCUUGAAUUCCCUAAGCUGUCUCUUUCAGAUAGAUUUGAAACACAGAGGGAAAAAUUUCAAAUUACAGAUGUCUCUGAGUUGUUGCAAUGCCUCACUGAUGAUUAAUUACACUUCAAUUUCAAGUUGAAUUUGCCUAGCUUCUGCUUUCAGAAGAACAUGGUUUUCCAAGGCCUUUUUCUCCCAUACUUUCCAGACACCAUCUAUUACUUAUUUUAGGAAACAAUACAAAAGACUUCUUCAAAAUGAUGGGAUUUGGAGAGGAUGAGAAGCAAUCAAUACUGUUUGCUUUGGGAGGAAAAUGAUUUCCAGGAAUGGUGCAGCAAAUUGCUGCCUCAGCUGUGAAACCUUCCUAGGAAAACUAUACAGCAGCUAAGUUACAAAUUGUGGCUUUGACUUCUUUUUCCCAUUUACAGCUCUGCACAGCCUUGCCCUUAUCAAUGAUCAUUAAGGACUGUGUUCAAAUCCUGUAAUUCAGUCAGAUUGAGAGAACCUUCUUUGACAGAUAUUUAGAUACAGAAGAGCAAGGAAAACACCUCCUCCCUCCUGCUUCUGAUGUUUUCUGAGGAGUUUGUCUAAAGCAUAUAACCUUUGCUAACAAGCCUCUGGUCAUUGCCAUCUGAUUUUCCUGCCAGGUAUGGCUCUGUUACUCCUCCUGGUGCUAAAUGCAGAAAACAAAGCCUGUGGGCUUGCUGUGGCCACCAGUGUGACCCAGCAUUGCAGGGCCAGCCUCAGGCACUUCUGGUCUCCCAGGCUGUGUGGGAGUCCUGCAGCUGGGUCCCCUCUGGAGCAAUGCUCAAAGUGCAGAUAAAGCCACUUAGUUUCAUAUAUAAAAUAGUCUCUGCUGGCAGAACCCACUGCCUGCAUCACCUUAGUGUUACAGGGAUACUCAGACUUCUCCCCCUCUCCCAGGGAAACAGCAAGAGGAAAGGGAGGACAUGGUCCAAAAGGACAUCUGUCUCAUUCUUCCUUCAGGCUAAACAGCAGGAAAGUAGGGCAGCUUCCAGGAAGAGAUUUUGCCAAGGAAGAUGGAAUCAUAUUUCAUAUGUACAAUGGGAGACUGACAAAAUGACACCAGUGCUUUUUAUCUCAAUGAUACAUCUUUUAAAUUCACUACUAAUUCAAUGGUUAGUGUCCAUUAAUAGGAGUGUUUUUUCAGGAUUACAUUACCCUGUGGAACUGGCAGUCAGGUAAAAAUGAGAAUUUAUUUUGUGAGGAAAACCAAAGACGUCUUCCUGUUCCUAGUCAAGGCACGAAAGGAUCCUUGCAUGCAGAGUAGCAGGGCUAUGGCAGCACACACAUUUCUGUGGAUGCAGGGACAUGCACUCUUGCCUCUCCCUGUUUGUGCAGUAACUGGGGAGGCUCUACCCAUGGGCAUCUUCCUCACUGGUAAUGGGAUGGGCUCAGUCCCAUGCCUGAUAGUGGUGUGGAAACACUGUGCACGGGGGGAGCUUGAGGUUGGUCUCAAGCUUUUUAUGCCAGCAUUAGAACACAGAAGUGUGUUUUGGAGGACAGAUCUAACCAGCUCUGCCAUGCAGCUCCCAGCAGAGAGCUCUACCUUUUGAGUUGCACCAAGGACUGACCUGCAGUCCAACUAGAAAUGUUACCCCUACAUAUAGAUCUGGGCAUUUUUCAUUCUGACUCACAGAGCAUCUUGCUUGCCUUGCUACAUUGGUGUCAUCAUCAGUGACAACCUGACUUGCUAUAAUCUCCAGUGAAAGUGCACUUUAUCUGCUUUUCUUAUUAAGAGGGUGAAUAUAUGUAUGAAUUAAUUCAGUUGCAUAUUUCUUUGGGUGUUUUUUGACCUGUUUUGUCCUUCUCUUCCCUUCUUCUGUCUUCAAUCCUUUUUUUCCCUGGGUGUUACAUUAUUUUUCAGUCUAUGGUUUCCUGCAGGCUUAUUAUCUGGUGAAGAUCUCAAAGGUAAGUUUUCUUGUAGACCUCUGUGAUGGCACAGGGAGGAGAUUUGUUUAAGGGUAUUAUAUUGCAAAAAAGGACAGUGUAGAUUAUCUGUUAUCAUGAUGAGCCGAACAAGCUAAGAAUAUUCUAGUGAUAUAGUGAAAAACAGGGAAAAAAGGACAAUAUCUUGUAAAGCACUUGUAACUGUAUUUUACAUGUCCCUUUGCUUGCUUAACCUGAGUUGUCUGCUUCUGCCAGGUUGAGCCACUGAAAUCUCCACUGAGGAUUGUUCUGCAGGCACAUACACAUCCUUCUUUUGUUGAUGUCCUGUUGUAGCACUUUAUAGUGUCCAGCUUGGAUGGAAAUUAAGCUCAGAAAUCUGUUAUAAAUAUUGUUGCAAUUGGUGAAAACAACAAUAUGUAGUUUUCUUCAGGAUAAGAGCUGCCUUGUGUUCAAUAUGAGAAACUACAUGUGGGAUUUUUUUUUUUUUUUGUUUAAAAGGAUAACUUUGUUUCAAUUCAGAAAAUUCCUUUUCUAUCUUUUCCUCACCUAUUUAAACAAUCAUAGCAGACUAAUGCUUUGUGAGCCUGUGUUCAUCAGAGAUGAUGCUUCAUUAGAUAACCUUCAAUCAAGUUGCAUCCAAGGUCGUGGGUGAAUGCAGCUCAUCUCUACGCCUCAAUUUCCAUAUUGUGAAAACAGCAGCUGUGAAACAAUGAGAAAAUGUGAGUGUCUCAGGGCUGUGUGCUCUUCUACCUGAUGUUUUGCAUGCCUGACCAGCAGAAUGGGGUGUACUACUCCAGAAAGCAGAAGAGAGAAAAAAUGAGAGGUCUCAGAGCCAGAUAGCCAGGAAUUAGCAUGUUGAACAAUGAGACAUUUAAUAACCUACUGUGAGAUAUGGGUACCUACCCCUGGGCCACAAAUCCCCACCUGUCAGUUCUGCACUGAACCCACCUCUCCACUCUUCCCUUCUCCUCGGGUAAACGCUUAGCCAAGAUUUGCUGUAAGAACUCAGCUGAAUCAUUAAGGUUUAAUCUUUAUCUCCAAGGCAAUAAAAAUAAGAUUAUUCAGGUUAUUAGUUAAAGGGUAUUCAAAGUUAUUCAGGGUAUUGUGGUUGGUGUUUUGGGUAUUUUUGGUCUGUUGGACCUUCCAACCAGUGUUCUAAUCAUGAAGCUAAAGCUAAAUGCAACCUGAAAAGUGCUUUGGAACUGGUCCCUGUUGGGGAAGCCUUAGCAGAUGAGGGAUCGAGUAGCUGGACAGCUGCUUUUGGAUAGGGAAGCCAUAGGAUGACUCAGGAGAACACAGCUUGACUGUCACUGUGCUGGGACAAUCUUGGGCUGAUGUGGUGUGAAGACAGCUGAGAGCUUGGGCUCCUCCACCGACACAGAGGAGUUUAACUUGUGGGUGCCAGGAGCAAGCGUGGGCCAAGAGAGGGGCACACAGGACUUCAAGGCUUGGAAACAUAAUUUCUACUUGGAAUAUUUGUAUCUAGCUAGCAUAUUGAAUGCUGCACUAGAUACCUGUAUGCACUUCCAGGCUUCCAGCACUGGAAGAGGACAGGUUUUAAAAGAUUGCAGCUUCAGAUUUAGGCAAGACUUGAGUACCAAAAGCCUUUUGUGACUCUGUUCCCAAGUCAUUUGAAGUAAUUAGCUACCUGUUUUCCAGAAGAAGCAUCAUCCUGUCUUCAUUUCUCUGAAUGCUAAUUUCAUCUGCCAGCUGACUUGGUCUCUACUGUGCUUCCCAGGUUUUGCUGGGAACACAUCCCAGAGGAAGUCUUCUGCAUUAAGUAUAGACCUCUUCUUGCCAUGUGCUUCCAGCACACUGAUGAUCUACAAGAGACAUCUGGGACAUCAUCUAACAUAAUCCUGUGGAGCUUCACACAGGAACCACCUGGAGAAGAACACCAGUACUAGAAAAAAAAAAAUAAAAAAUGCUUGCAGCCAGAGGAAAAGGAUGGUUCCUUCUAAAAGGGUCUGUGCACAGAACAGAAUGUCUUUGGUGCAGCUGGAUUGGCUUCAGCUGUGUUGCUCAAUUCACACUUAGGCAAAAGGAAAACAAGGAGAGCGUAUCUUGAGGCCUUAAAUUUAAUCCAAAGAUGUUAUAAUGUUGCAGAAAUGAAUCAAACAAGGUACUUCCAGAUUGAGUUUUAACCAGUGGUGGUCUGGAGGAAUGGACAUGCUAUUGCUGAAAAUCAGUUUCAUCAGACCCCUUUGACUUUUAUGGUUUUUGAAGAAUUAAUGUCUUCAGACAACUAUACUACCAGGGGUUGCAGCCCAUCCUCUGCUGAAAAUUUACAAAGGUCACUGAGUCAGCGGUGGGUCUUUGUGACUGUAUAAGGUUUGUAUGACAUGGAUUUGGUAGCAGGGGGACUAGAGAAGGGUCUUCUGUAAGAAGCUUCCCCCAUUUCUGAUGGAGCCAAUGCCAGCAGGUUCCAAGAUGGACCCACUGCUGGCCAAGGCUGAGCUCAUCAGUGAAGGUGGUGGCUCCUCUGGGAUAAUGUCCUUCAGAAGGGGAAAAGAGUUACAGAAACAACAAUAUGUAACAGGAAAAAACCCUCUGCAGCCCCCAAAGCCAGUGAAACAGGAGGGGCAGGAGGUGCUCCAGGUGCUGGAGCAGAAUCCCCUGCAGUCUGUGGUGCAGACCAUGGUGAGGCAGCUGUUCCCCUCAGCCCAUGGAGGACCAUGGAGG
Molecule: long non-coding RNA, 14746 nt
Organism: Parus major (Great Tit)
Lineage: Eukaryota; Metazoa; Chordata; Aves; Passeriformes; Paridae
Exons: 3
Source: RefSeq, a predicted model, not a curated record